UGACUCUAACUCUUCCUCAAUUGUCGAAUGAAUCUUUCGCCUUUUACUAAAGAUUUCCGUGGGGGUAGAGUAAUGUUGAGUACAUAGUAAUUUUUUGUUAUGCCUAGCUCAAAAAGCCGG
RNAcentral lists this small nuclear RNA (120 nucleotides) under Teleopsis dalmanni. RNAcentral's name for it is "U5 spliceosomal RNA". It matches the Rfam family "U5 spliceosomal RNA". From Rfam's summary of the family: U5 RNA is a component of both types of known spliceosome. The precise function of this molecule is unknown, though it is known that the 5' loop is required for splice site selection and p220 binding, and that both the 3' stem-loop and the Sm site are important for Sm protein binding and cap methylation. The record is from RNAcentral. Lineage: Eukaryota; Metazoa; Arthropoda; Insecta; Diptera; Diopsidae.